This 172-nucleotide unclassified non-coding RNA is filed under the name uncultured Sebacina. RNAcentral's name for it is "sequence contains ITS1". Lineage: Eukaryota; Fungi; Basidiomycota; Agaricomycetes; Sebacinales; Sebacinaceae. The record is from RNAcentral.
UUGAUUGCGAAUCGUUGUCUUCAGUGCUGGCCAGCUCUGGCAAGUGCACGUUGGCGGCUUUUCAUCCAAUACCCCUGUGAACCUUUGGCCUCUUGCUAGCCUUGGCCGGCAGGGGAAUUUUUACACCCACUCGAAUGUAAUGAAAUUAUCGUUGUGCGUAAGCACUAAUGUA